This 425-nucleotide ribosomal RNA is filed under the name uncultured bacterium. Its description in RNAcentral is "partial 16S ribosomal RNA". It matches the Rfam family "Bacterial small subunit ribosomal RNA", at positions 354 to 796 of the family's 1533-position model. The record is from RNAcentral.
GUUAGGAAUAUUGGACAAUGGGCGCAAGCCUGAUCCAGCCAUGCCGCGUGAGUGAUGAAGGCCUUCGGGUUGUAAAGCUCUUUAGCCGAUGAUUAUAAUGACUGUAGUCGGAAAAUAAGCCCCGGCUAACUUCGUGCCAGCAGCCGCGGUAAUACGAAGGGGGCGAGCGUUAUUCGGAAUCACUGGGCGUAAAGCGUGCGUAGGCGGCUUUGCAAGUUGGUAGUGAAAGCCCAGGGCUCACCCCUGGAAUUGCUCUCAAAACUGCAAGGAUAGAAUUCGGGAGAGGAUAGCGGAAUUGUCAGUGUAGCAGUGAAAUGCGUAGAUAUUGACAGGAACACCAGUGGCGUAAGCGGCUAUCUGGACCGAUAUUGACGCUGAGGCACGAAAGCGUGGGGAUCAAACAGGAUUAGAAACCCUAGUAGUCC